GAGACGGUAGCUCAGUCGGUAGAGCAACGGACUUUUAAUCCGUAGGUCCUGGGUUCGAGUCCCAGCCGUCUCA
RNAcentral lists this transfer RNA (73 nucleotides) under Planctomycetales bacterium. RNAcentral's name for it is "tRNA-Lys". It matches the Rfam family "tRNA". Rfam says of the family: Transfer RNA (tRNA) molecules are approximately 80 nucleotides in length. Lineage: Bacteria; Pseudomonadati; Planctomycetota; Planctomycetia; Planctomycetales. The record is from RNAcentral.